This 295-nucleotide ribosomal RNA is filed under the name uncultured microorganism. RNAcentral's name for it is "partial 16S ribosomal RNA". It matches the Rfam family "Bacterial small subunit ribosomal RNA", at positions 505 to 796 of the family's 1533-position model. The record is from RNAcentral.
GUGCCAGCAGGCCGCGGUAAUACGAAGGGGGCUAGCGUUGCUCGGUAAUCACUGGGCGUAAAGGGCGCGUAGGGCGGCCGAUUAAGUCGGGGGUGAAAGCCUGUGGCUCAACCACAGAAUUGCCAUCGAUACUGGUUGGCUUGAGACCGGAAGAGGACAGCGGAACUGCGAGUGUAGAGGUGAAAUUCGUAGAUAUUCGCAAGAACACCAGUGGCGAAGGCGGCUGUCUGGUCCGGUUCUGACGCUGAGGCGCGAAAGCGUGGGGAGCAAACAGGAUUAGAUACCCUGGUAGUCC